This 267-nucleotide long non-coding RNA is filed under the name Daucus carota (carrot). RNAcentral's name for it is "long non-coding RNA (DCAR_LNC002530)". Lineage: Eukaryota; Viridiplantae; Streptophyta; Magnoliopsida; Apiales; Apiaceae. The record is from RNAcentral.
GCUCCGGUUCUGUGGAGGGUUGCCCUUCAAUUAGAUCCGAUCGUGCAUCACGAUAAUGGAACGGGAAGAGGAGUGCUGGUGAUUCUUUCCCAACAAAUAUGAUACACAUGUAAUCUAAUCGUCGUGUUAGAGCUCAUCUACGGAUCUACAUGUCAAGAUUUCGACAUUCAAAAGCAAAGGUGUACUUUUUCCGAUUCUCAAUUUACAUGUUUAUGUGACUAUUUGUUUUCUUAGUAUAUUCAAUACUUUAUGUUUUUGAAAGUUUUG